Sinocyclocheilus rhinocerous is the source of this 199-nucleotide long non-coding RNA. RefSeq lists it as uncharacterized. The transcript is spliced from 3 exons. The record is from RefSeq and is a predicted model, not a curated record. NCBI's taxonomy places the organism in Eukaryota, Metazoa, Chordata, Actinopteri, Cypriniformes, Cyprinidae.
GCCGCGCUUUUCUGUUUGCUGGAGCCCAUUAUUCGUCUCUUAUAUAGCAACCUACAGAGAGAAGAGACUCAUCCCGCGACAUCUGGGGCUUUCAGGCUAACGUUACCAGAAAGAAUCCGUUUCUACGAUGUUUAUUUGUGUAAAUGCUGUGAGUGCGUUGAGCUCUGCGCGAGCUGGGAGCAGAGUUGCCAUGGAAACG